GAUAGCUUCGGUCCAAAUGAAUAUCCUAAUCCUGAAGAAGUAACGAGCAAUUUGGUAAAAUAAAUUUGUCGUAAUCUUUUACGGUUGCGAAGGAGUAGUGGUCACAAGAAAAACAGUGUUCGGGGAGAUAACUCAUACAACGUAAAGUAUUUUGUUACGAGGUUGUAAAUUUUUAAAGCGUAUAAACUAUACGAUAUCAUAUUCCAAACAUCUAAGCGACAAGUUAUUAAACAACAAUACUACGCAAGAAAAAAAAUUAGGCGGAAGAAAAAAAAAAAAUAAUAAUAAUAAUAAUAAUAAUAAUUAAAAACCAAUUGUUCAGAGAACAAUUGUAGGUCUUUCCACUAGAAAAGAUCUUUUUUGAUAUUGAAAUAUUAAAAAUCAGUUUAAAAUGUUAGUUCCUAUGGCUGUAUGAUGUAUUUAUAUGAAUUUAAAGCAAAAGGUCAAAAUCUAGAACGUCAUAUUAACCUAUGACCUUGACCUCAAUUUCAAGUUCACAAAC
RNAcentral lists this long non-coding RNA (502 nucleotides) under Mytilus galloprovincialis (Mediterranean mussel). Lineage: Eukaryota; Metazoa; Mollusca; Bivalvia; Mytilida; Mytilidae. The record is from RNAcentral.